AGCGUAUAUUAAAGUUGUUGCAGUUAAAAAGCUCAUAGUUGAAUUUCGGGGUCAGUAGGUUGGUCGUGCCACCGGUACGUACUGGUCUCACUGAUUCCUCCUUCCUGAUGAGCUGUAAUGCCAUUAAUUUGGUGUUGCAGGGAAUCUGGACUGUUACUUUGAAAAAAUUAGAGUGUUUAAAGCAGGCUAACGCUUGAAUACAUUAGCAUGGAAUAAUGAAAUAGGACGUUCGAUCCUAUUUUGUUGGUUUCUAGGAUUGACGUAAUGAUUAAUAGGGAUAGUUGGGGGCAUUAGUAUUCAAUUGUCAGAGGUGAAAUUCUUGGAUUUAUUGAAGACUAACUACUGCGAAAGCAUUUGCCAAGGAUGUUUUCAUUAAUCAAGAACGAAAGUUAGGGGAUCGAAGACGAUCAGAUACCGUCGUAGUCUUAACCAUAAACUAUGCCGACUAGGGAUCGGAUGAUGUUAAUUUUUUAAUGACUC
This 480-nucleotide ribosomal RNA is filed under the name uncultured Glomeromycotina. RNAcentral describes it as "SSU rRNA". It matches the Rfam family "Eukaryotic small subunit ribosomal RNA", at positions 596 to 1077 of the family's 1831-position model. Lineage: Eukaryota; Fungi; Glomeromycota. The record is from RNAcentral.